Molecule: ribosomal RNA, 316 nt
Filed under: uncultured eukaryote
Lineage: Eukaryota
Description: partial 18S ribosomal RNA
Rfam family: Eukaryotic small subunit ribosomal RNA
Source: RNAcentral
CCCUUAGAUGUUCUGGGCCGCACGCGUGCUACACUGACCGGCGCAACAAGUUUCUUUCCUUGGCUCGAUAGGCCUGGGUAAUCUUUGAACGCCGGUCGUGAUGGGGAUAGAUCCUUGCAAUUUUUGAUCUUCAACGAGGAAUUCCUAGUAAAUGCGAGUCAUCAUCUCGCGUUGAUUACGUCCCUGCCCUUUGUACACACCGCCCGUCGCACCUACCGAUUGAAUGGUCCGGUGAAGCCUCGGGAUUGCGAAUGCUUCGUGCGGACGCGAGAACUUGGCUAAACCUUACCAUUUAGAGGAAGGCGAAGUCGUAACA